GAGCCUGCCCCCACCGGAGCCUGCCCCCACCGGAGCGUUCCCGCCUGCCCCGCGGCAGCGGGAGAGAGUGAAAAUGCCAGAAAUAAAGGAGAGGAGCUACUUUGAAGAAUUUCCAGUGAUUUUACAGAUUGAUCUUCAAAUUUGUAGAAAUCUGCCCCGGGAAGGGGCCGCUGGUGAAGCUGGGGGCUCAUCCGCUCAGCCGGUGUCGCAAGGAGCAGCCGAAGCUGGAACCAGUUCCCGAAGCGUUCAUGGUCUGGUGGCUCACCAGGACGUUGGUUUGAGACAUCAGACUCUAACCAAUGCAUUUUGGGAGACGCGCGCACGGCCGCAUGGACCAUCUCGAGUAGCGUCUGUCUGUGGGGACGGAGCCGGUCCGUCUGCCCCGUCGUGUCGACGGUCCCACAUGCUGGAGAGGAUGCAGUACAUCUGCAUUCCCGAGCACGGUGGGUUUUGCCCAUGGACCUUUAUCAUCUCCUGGCUGCAUGGACCGUUGCUGGUUCGGGGAUGAAGUGUGAAGAGCAGAAACUCUCUGUGCGCAGCCCGAGUGUCGGGAGAUGCUGCUUCUGCUCCGCUCCUGCCCCAGCCCGACAUCCUGUGCGACUUUCAAGCAAAUCACUCGGUCUCUUUGCAUCUCCGUACCCAGCCAUCCUCGUCGGGGGUAAUCACAGCUUCCUUGCUCGUAGGGUGCUGGUAGGGGAACUUCAAGCUUCGGCGGCGGAUUUGCAUGUCGAAGCGGAGCCCUGCGUGCUGUGCUGUGCUGCGCGAGGGGAAGCAGCUUGGGGGAAAGGUAUGAACUGGAAAAAUAAGUGGUGCCUCGAAAAAGCUGCCGCAGGAGGGGGCAAGCUGAGGAGGCGAGGUCCUGGGACGGAACUGCACGAAACCGCAGGAGCUGCCGUGCAGACCGUCUCUGUGCCCUCAUCUCUGACACCCUGGCCCUCGCUUUUAUUUAAAAGCAUGUCUGGGUGCUCCACCCUGUUAAGUGGUGUAUCUGGGAAAUAAUCAGCCAGAGGCUGGAGCUUGUCCCCCUGCCAGAGCCAUCUCUCGGGUCUUCAGCGGCGCAGAACUCCCCGUCUUGGUUCAUAUUUCUCAUUAUACACAACUUGCUUGAGUUUCAUUGCUUAGGUAGCCACAAACUCCAGAGCUUCAUACCUCCCCGCUCUGUUUCUAGCCAGCAGCAAGCCCUGCAUCAGUCACGUCGUGAUGCUCCAAGCCAUCGCAUAGGACGAGGCGGUGGAAAGCCUGCGAGUCCCAGCGCGGUCAGACACCUCCAACGGGUUCUUAUUACAAGCUGGACGAUGUGCGAGCGCUUGAUACAUGGUUUAUAGCCAGAAGAGGCAUGGGAUGAAGCCAAGGCUGGGAAGCCUCUCCCCUUGGAAGGAGGGAUGCGGAUUCUCAUGGAGCAGCAGUUGAUGGUCUGCACACCCAGCAGCUCUGGCCGGCGGCUGGGCGAUGGCCGUGGGAAAGCUCUCGCCGUCCGGCAGCUGUGGGGUGUCUGACGUGACAAGGGGACACCGCAGGGAAACGUGGAAGAAGGACGGUCGAGUUAGUCCUGAGUCCGAAUUCAGGUUCACAGCCAUGCGCUUUGUAACCGGUAAAGAUUAAGAUCUUAAUUUUGGCGUUUCUUCAUACCUGCAGCCAGAACACGGCCUGUGCCUGCUCUGUGUAAGAGCCUUGGGAGCGCUGGCGUGCCGGGUGUGUAUUUUUAGGUCAUUUCCAGAGAAGUGGAUUCAUUUCGACGGAACCAGCCGACCGCCUCGGCACUCAGCCGUGUUGUGAUGGAGAUGAAGGACAGUUUCCACCUUACAUCGUCUUGCUGUCGGAGGUUUUGACCUUGCUCACACGUCUGUUACUGCCUGAUUUAUCUUCACUGACGUUCAGACUCUGGCCCUUCCAAGAUCGUUAUCAGACCGUCUCUGGAUUUCAGUGGCCAAACUCUCAAAAGCUGUGGCCCCCAGCAAGGGCCUCGUCUGCCUAACACAAAAUAAAGACCAACCUCUGCCAAACUAAUUCAUCCCACUUUAAUCCCUCUCUUCAGAAGGUCUCUUUGCCUUCCUGGAACCGCCUGGUUCGUUAGAAAUUGGGCUUUUGAAUGUAUUAGAAAUGUAGACCUCAUAUUCCCACAGGCACGUGGGGACGUGGCGGAAUGAAUGUGCAUAUUGUAUCUUAAUAAUCUAGUCUUCUGGGGUUGUCAGACUUUUUGAAAGAGGUUUGAAACGGGGACCAGUUUUAUCUCACACGAGGCAUUGGGUCCUCACUUAACUAAUGGUGCAACUCCAUAUAGAUUUCUCAACCUAAAAUAUAGUACUAUGCACUAAUCAGAUAUUAUUUAGAAAGUAUUUGGUAAGUAACACCUGCUGCACUGAAAAUUAAAUUAAGGGUGUUAAAUAGGAGUUUAAAGAAAACAAGUUUUAGGGAAAAAAUCUUUGAAGAUACCUAUUUUAGUUCAGAUUUCAAAUUUAAAUUUCCUAAAAGAUGUUGGCAGGGUUAAUUUUUCCUUUGUACAUGUAACAUAUUUGUUCAUCUAUGCCAUUAUACAGCUCCUUUCAAGCUGAGUAUUAUACUGGAAUACAGCAAAAGCCAAAUUUAAGAUAUGAAACUGGAGGAGACCGUAUUUCAUACUGCAUAAAAUGCACCUCUGGAAUUUUCAGUUCUUCUUUUCUGCAGUAUUACAAAUGCCUUUAUAAAGUAUCAUGGCUGAUGAGCUAAAAAAGAGGAAAAAAAGAAAAGAAAAGAAAAAAAACAAACAAAAAACCCUGUGGCUUUGGAUAUAUUCACUUCAAGUUUGUGGUUAAUAUUUCCCAGGCUGCUUAGAGGUGAGCCUAAGUUCAGUCAUCACACUGCUGCUUCACCAGUCUCUGCCGGUGUUUCUAAAUGACUCUGAUAAAAGAUUGCGAAAAAUGGA
Molecule: long non-coding RNA, 2902 nt
Organism: Gymnogyps californianus (California condor)
Lineage: Eukaryota; Metazoa; Chordata; Aves; Accipitriformes; Cathartidae
Exons: 4
Source: RefSeq, a predicted model, not a curated record